This 1944-nucleotide ribosomal RNA is filed under the name Arenimonas composti TR7-09 = DSM 18010. RNAcentral describes it as "bacterial LSU rRNA". It matches the Rfam family "Bacterial large subunit ribosomal RNA", at positions 997 to 2925 of the family's 2925-position model. Lineage: Bacteria; Pseudomonadati; Pseudomonadota; Gammaproteobacteria; Lysobacterales; Lysobacteraceae. The record is from RNAcentral.
GCUAACGUCCGUCGUGAAAAGGGAAACAACCCAGACCCACAGCUAAGGUCCCCAAAUUACCGCUCAGUGGAAAACGAUGUGGGAAGGCACAGACAGCCAGGAGGUUGGCUUAGAAGCAGCCAUCCUUUAAAGAAAGCGUAAUAGCUCACUGGUCGAGUCGGCCUGCGCGGAAGAUUUAACGGGGCUAAGCGGUAUACCGAAGCUUGGGGUGCAUCACUUCGGUGAUGCGCGGUAGAGGAGCGUUCCGUAAGCCGUUGAAGGUGGAUCGUAAGGUCUGCUGGAGGUAUCGGAAGUGCGAAUGCUGACAUGAGUAACGAUAAUGCGGGUGAAAAGCCCGCACGCCGAAAGCCCAAGGUUUCCUUGCGCAACGUUAAUCGGCGCAGGGUGAGUCGGCCCCUAAGGCGAGACCGAAAGGUGUAGUCGAUGGGAAGCUGGUUAAUAUUCCAGCACCUCGCGUGACUGCGAUGGGGGGACGGAGAAGGUUAGGUGUACCGGGCGUUGGUUGUCCCGGGGAAAGGCGGUAGGCAUGAGGCGCAGGCAAAUCCGCGUCUCUUUAUGCCGAGCACCGAGACGAGCCCUAUCGGGCGAAGUCACUGAUACCACGCUUCCAGGAAAAGCCUCUAAGCUUCAGGUCACGCAGACCGUACCGUAAACCGACACAGGUGGGCAGGAUGAGAAUUCUCAGGCGCUUGAGAGAACUUGGGUGAAGGAACUAGGCAACAUGGCACCGUAACUUCGGGAGAAGGUGCGCCCACCAGGGUGGCCACAUGCGUGGCUGAGCCCCGGCGGGCCGCAGAAACCAGGCCGCUGCGACUGUUUAUCAAAAACACAGCACUCUGCAAACACGAAAGUGGACGUAUAGGGUGUGACGCCUGCCCGGUGCCGGAAGGUUAAUUGAUGGGGUCAGCCGCAAGGCGAAGCUCUUGAUCGAAGCCCCGGUAAACGGCGGCCGUAACUAUAACGGUCCUAAGGUAGCGAAAUUCCUUGUCGGGUAAGUUCCGACCUGCACGAAUGGCGUAACGACAGCGGCGCUGUCUCCACCCAAGACUCAGUGAAAUUGAAAUCGCUGUGAAGAUGCAGCGUUCCCGCGGCAAGACGGAAAGACCCCGUGAACCUUUACUACAGCUUUACAUUGAACGUUGAGUUCGUCUGUGUAGGAUAGGUGGGAGGCUGCGAAGUGCGGACGCCAGUUCGCAUGGAGCCAUCCUUGAAAUACCACCCUGAUGUGCUUGACGUUCUAACCUGGGCCCGUUAUCCGGGUCGGGGACCAUGUAUGGUGGGUAGUUUGACUGGGGCGGUCUCCUCCCAAAGAGUAACGGAGGAGCACGAAGGUACGCUCAGCGCGGUCGGACAUCGCGCACUGUGUGCAAAGGCAUAAGCGUGCUUGACUGCAAGAUCGACGGAUCAAGCAGGUACGAAAGUAGGUCUUAGUGAUCCGGUGGUUCUGUAUGGAAGGGCCAUCGCUCAACGGAUAAAAGGUACUCCGGGGAUAACAGGCUGAUACCGCCCAAGAGUUCAUAUCGACGGCGGUGUUUGGCACCUCGAUGUCGGCUCAUCACAUCCUGGGGCUGUAGUCGGUCCCAAGGGUAUGGCUGUUCGCCAUUUAAAGUGGUACGCGAGCUGGGUUCAGAACGUCGUGAGACAGUUCGGUCCCUAUCUGUCGUGGGCGUUGGAGAUUUGAGAGGGGCUGCUCCUAGUACGAGAGGACCGGAGUGGACGACCCCCUGGUGUUCCGGUUGUCAUGCCAAUGGCACGGCCGGGUAGCUAUGGUCGGAAGCGAUAACCGCUGAAAGCAUCUAAGCGGGAAGCGCGCCUCAAGAUGAGAUCUCCCGGGGCACAAGCCCCCUGAAGGAACCAUCAAGACCAGGUGGUUGAUAGGCUGGGUGUGUAAGCAGGGCAACCUGUUGAGCUGACCAGUACUAAUGAUCCGUGCGGCUUGAUCAU